This is a long non-coding RNA of Olea europaea var. sylvestris, 1429 nucleotides long. RefSeq lists it as uncharacterized. The transcript is spliced from 2 exons. Lineage: Eukaryota; Viridiplantae; Streptophyta; Magnoliopsida; Lamiales; Oleaceae. The record is from RefSeq and is a predicted model, not a curated record.
GUCCCUUUCCAUGACUCCCAGGUCCCACUUAAGGACCAAAAGUGUGUCCCAUUUGAUCCCACCCAACGGAACAAAAUACGCACAAGUUCCUUCGAAGAGUUCCAUACCGUCGAGUAGAAUUGUUGAAACAAAUUACUUGGAAAAUCCAAUCCCUCCGAAAAUUCAACCAGAUUCCGAUUUCUCUCUGGAGCCUUUCCGAUCCUGAACCGACACUAAACCAGAAAUCUACUAAUCCGCACAACUACAGAUCUCAUUCGUAUUGUAAUUGAUUUUUUAUUGAAGUCGUUAUCUCGCGGUAAAGUUUGUUAUUUUUUCGUUUUCAAUGGCGACGAGGAAUCGGACGAUCUUGUAUAAGAAGUACAGGGACGCAUUAAAGAGCGUCCGGGCUCCGUCAGGUUCGUCGCCGGCGAGUUCCGCUGGAGGACCCGUGAUAGAGCUGUCGACGACCUCGUUGCUUAAUCACAAUCGCUCAUACGUCCCUCUCAGCACCGAAGAUCCGGGAACAUUGAGGUACUACUUAUGCUUUGCAACUUUGAAUUUCUAACCGUGUGAGCUUUUCUUAUUUUAUGAAUCUCAAGUCGUGAUUUUUUUGAGACGAUAUCAGAUAUCCUCAUGUAUAAGUCAGUGGACUCCGUGUGAUCGAUUUAGUAGGUCAAAGAGGUUCUGUAAUGCGUUGAUCCCUGGCAAAAAAUGUUUUUGGCAUCCUAUUUGAAUAUUUGGAGAUUCGAAUUUUGGUGAAUGAUCUAAAUAAAUUUCCCGUCCUAGUUUACCAGGGGAAAUUAUUUUGAUUAAGAAUUGGGUCUUUUACUUUUAUACUGGUAUACAAGGUUCACAAUGGCUUCGGCAACAAACACAAAUGUACAAUUCUUGGGUUCAUGCCUGGCCUGAUCUGAGGAGAACACCAACAAUUGACAAAGCAAUUCGAAUAGACGUCACUGUUUUAGUAUUUAAUGCAGUAAACACGUGGAUGAUCCAAGUUAACGUCAGUGCCUUAGUAAAGAGCGCAAGGAAGAGGAAGAUGAAAGGAACUGAAAUGUGGUUCUGAAUAUGAUUUGACCAUUUUCGGAUUCUAAGGCAAUGACUUUAACACAGCUGAAAGGAAGAGAAUGAAAUCUGUUGCUGUCCUCUGGUAUCAUGGGAUAGGGCUUUUUUGUGGUUUUACAAUGUUUAGAUUGUGAUCUUACACAAUUUUUUUCCAUCCCAGUCUAGGUUCAGCUUCCAGUAGUCACAAUAAUUUGCUUCAAGACCUAAUUUUACUUGUGCAGCUGCUUGAUUCUGUUUUAUGAUUGAUAUGUAGAUAUUGAUUACCAUUUUUUCUGCAUAUCAUGUAUUCACCUCCACAUUUGAGUAUAUUUUGGCAAAAAAGAAUACUCCUUGUGAGUGAAUGGGCAAGAAACUAUGUUAAAGAAACUUAGCAGAAAAAAAAAAA